RNAcentral lists this ribosomal RNA (453 nucleotides) under uncultured Porphyromonadaceae bacterium. Its description in RNAcentral is "partial 16S ribosomal RNA". It matches the Rfam family "Bacterial small subunit ribosomal RNA", at positions 341 to 792 of the family's 1533-position model. Lineage: Bacteria; Pseudomonadati; Bacteroidota; Bacteroidia; Bacteroidales; Porphyromonadaceae. The record is from RNAcentral.
ACGGAAGGCAGCAGUGAGGAAUAUUGGUCAAUGGACGAGAGUCUGAACCAGCCAAGUCGCGUGAAGGAAGACGGUUCUAUGGAUUGUAAACUUCUUUUGUCCGAGGGUAAAGUGAGAGAUGCGUCUCUUAUUGCAAGUAUCGGACGAAUAAGCAUCGGCUAACUCCGUGCCAGCAGCCGCGGUAAUACGGAGGAUGCGAGCGUUAUCCGGAUUUAUUGGGUUUAAAGGGUGCGUAGGCGGAUGAUUAAGUCUGUGGUGAAAGCGUGCGGCUCAACCGUACCGAGCCAUGGAAACUGGUUGUCUUGAGUGUAAACGAGGUAGGCGGAAUGUGACAUGUAGCGGUGAAACGCUUAGAUAUGUCACAGAACUCCGAUUGCGAAGGCAGCUUACCAGCAUACAACUGACGCUGAGGCACGAAAGCGUGGGUAUCAAACAGGAUUAGAUACCCUGGUA